UACGUAGGGUGCGAGCGUUGUCCGGAAUUAUUGGGCGUAAAGAGCUUGUAGGCGGUUUGUCGCGUCUGCCGUGAAAAUCCGGGGCUCAACCCCGGACUUGCGGUGGGUACGGGCAGACUAGAGUGUGGUAGGGGAGACUGGAAUUCCUGGUGUAGCGGUGAAAUGCGCAGAUAUCAGGAGGAACACCAGUGGCGAAGGCGGUGCUCUGGGCCGGAACUGACGCUGAGGAGCGAAAGCGUGGGGAGCAAACAGG
Molecule: ribosomal RNA, 253 nt
Filed under: uncultured bacterium
Lineage: Bacteria
Description: partial 16S ribosomal RNA
Rfam family: Bacterial small subunit ribosomal RNA
Source: RNAcentral